This 465-nucleotide ribosomal RNA is filed under the name uncultured bacterium. RNAcentral's name for it is "partial 16S ribosomal RNA". It matches the Rfam family "Bacterial small subunit ribosomal RNA", at positions 28 to 507 of the family's 1533-position model. The record is from RNAcentral.
GACGAACGCUGGCGGCGUGCUUAACACAUGCAAGUCGAACGGAAAGGCCCUGCUUGCAGGGUACUCGAGUGGCGAACGGGUGAGUAACACGUGGGUGAUCUGCCCUGCACUUCGGGAUAAGCCUGGGAAACUGGGUCUAAUACCGGAUAGGAGCCAUUUUUAGUGUGAUGGUUGGAAAGUUUUUUCGGUGUAGGAUGAGCUCGCGGCCUAUCAGCUUGUUGGUGGGGUAAUGGCCUACCAAGGCGGCGACGGGUAGCCGGCCUGAGAGGGUGGACGGCCACAUUGGGACUGAGAUACGGCCCAGACUCCUACGGGAGGCAGCAGUGGGGAAUAUUGCACAAUGGGCGCAAGCCUGAUGCAGCGACGCCGCGUGGGGGAUGACGGCCUUCGGGUUGUAAACUCCUUUCGCUAGGGACGAAGCUUUUUGUGACGGUACCUAGAUAAGAAGCACCGGCUAACUACAUG